UACGUAGGGGGCAAGCGUUGUCCGGAAUCAUUGGGCGUAAAGAGCGUGUAGGCGGCCAGAUAAGUCCGCUGUGAAAUCUCGAGGCUCAACUUCGAGCUGUCGGUGGAAACUGUCUGGCUAGAGUCCGGAAGAGGAGAAUGGAAUUCCUGGUGUAGCGGAGAAAUGCGCAGAUAUCAGGAAGAACACCCGUGGCGAAGGCGGUUCUCUGGGACGGUACUGACGCUGAGACGCGAAAGCGUGGGGAGCGAACAGG
Molecule: ribosomal RNA, 253 nt
Filed under: uncultured bacterium
Lineage: Bacteria
Description: partial 16S ribosomal RNA
Rfam family: Bacterial small subunit ribosomal RNA
Source: RNAcentral